Long non-coding RNA from Oryzias melastigma (Indian medaka), 611 nucleotides. RefSeq lists it as uncharacterized. The transcript is spliced from 2 exons. NCBI's taxonomy places the organism in Eukaryota, Metazoa, Chordata, Actinopteri, Beloniformes, Adrianichthyidae. The record is from RefSeq and is a predicted model, not a curated record.
GUCCCGUCAAAGGCUUCCCUGCAGCUCAUCGCCGGCGGCGACAACAACAAGAGCGAGCUCGCAGCCCCUGAACGCGUCUUAGUCAGCGUGUCCAUGAAAGGGCCAGAUUCAUUAGGUGCUGAUGGGCCAGGUGGUGUGAAUUUAAUAAACACAGAGGAGAGAAAUCUGUAGGCACACAGCAGGAUGAGUCACGGGAGUUUCGCCGCGCCGAGAGCUGGAGGGAAGCUGCAGCCGAGCAGGAAACACAUACAUGCGGACGGAUGAACUCAUGCUCUCCAAGCAGGAGCGCCGCGGACGCCGGCGUGGACGUGACAUCACAAAGACGAGCGGUUUUCCAGGAGUCGCUGUGAGACGUCAGAAGGAACCGUCUGGAUCAGAGUGUUCUGGUGGACCUCUGGACCGGAGCCUGCAUGUCAGAAUGAACAUUUAGCUGCUAACUCUGUUUAAGAAUAACGUCUGAUUUUGAGAUUUGCAUAAUUUCUGUCUUUUUCUUUGUUGUUUUAUUUUUCCUUUUGGGUUUAAAACCAAAUCUGAUGUCACACAGGGAGGUUUUAAAAUGUUCUCGUGUUAUUUUUCUGAUGACAUAUCAAUAAAUUAUGAUUAAAACUUCA